CCCUUGUCCUUGGCACUGGAAGAAUUCACAAUUUAGUGAGGUGUGGGUUCUCGGGUGCCAAAGAAAGGGGA
This 71-nucleotide microRNA precursor is filed under the name Cordylochernes scorpioides. The record is from RNAcentral. Lineage: Eukaryota; Metazoa; Arthropoda; Arachnida; Pseudoscorpiones; Chernetidae.